This 1439-nucleotide ribosomal RNA is filed under the name uncultured organism. RNAcentral describes it as "SSU rRNA". It matches the Rfam family "Bacterial small subunit ribosomal RNA". The record is from RNAcentral.
GCUAGCUACAGGCUUAACACAUGCAAGUCGAGGGGCAUCAGGAAGAAAGCUUGCUUUCUUUGCUGGCGACCGGCGCACGGGUGAGUAACACGUAUCCAACCUGCCCUUUACUCGGGGAUAGCCUUUCGAAAGAAAGAUUAAUACCCGAUAGCAUAAUGAUUCCGCAUGGUUUCAUUAUUAAAGGAUUCCGGUAAAGGAUGGGGAUGCGUUCCAUUAGGUUGUUGGUGAGGUAACGGCCCACCAAGCCUUCGAUGGAUAGGGGUUCUGAGAGGAAGGUCCCCCACAUUGGAACUGAGACACGGUCCAAACUCCUACGGGAGGCAGCAGUGAGGAAUAUUGGUCAAUGGGCGCUAGCCUGAACCAGCCAAGUAGCGUGAAGGAUGAAGGCUCUAUGGGUCGUAAACUUCUUUUAUAUAAGAAUAAAGUGCAGUAUGUAUACUGUUUUGUAUGUAUUAUAUGAAUAAGGAUCGGCUAACUCCGUGCCAGCAGCCGCGGUAAUACGGAGGAUCCGAGCGUUAUCCGGAUUUAUUGGGUUUAAAGGGAGCGUAGGUGGACUGGUAAGUCAGUUGUGAAAGUUUGCGGCUCAACCGUAAAAUUGCAGUUGAUACUGUCAGUCUUGAGUACAGUAGAGGUGGGCGGAAUUCGUGGUGUAGCGGUGAAAUGCUUAGAUAUCACGAAGAACUCCGAUUGCGAAGGCAGCUCACUGGACUGCAACUGACACUGAUGCUCGAAAGUGUGGGUAUCAAACAGGAUUAGAUACCCUGGUAGUCCACACAGUAAACGAUGAAUACUCGCUGUUUGCGAUAUACAGUAAGCGGCCAAGCGAAAGCAUUAAGUAUUCCACCUGGGGAGUACGCCGGCAACGGUGAAACUCAAAGGAAUUGACGGGGGCCCGCACAAGCGGAGGAACAUGUGGUUUAAUUCGAUGAUACGCGAGGAACCUUACCCGGGCUUAAAUUGCAGUGGAAUGAUGUGGAAACAUGUCAGUGAGCAAUCACCGCUGUGAAGGUGCUGCAUGGUUGUCGUCAGCUCGUGCCGUGAGGUGUCGGCUUAAGUGCCAUAACGAGCGCAACCCUUAUCUUUAGUUACUAACAGGUUAUGCUGAGGACUCUAGAGAGACUGCCGUCGUAAGAUGUGAGGAAGGUGGGGAUGACGUCAAAUCAGCACGGCCCUUACGUCCGGGGCUACACACGUGUUACAAUGGGGGGUACAGAAGGCAGCUAGCGGGUGACCGUAUGCUAAUCCCAAAAUCCUCUCUCAGUUCGGAUCGAAGUCUGCAACCCGACUUCGUGAAGCUGGAUUCGCUAGUAAUCGCGCAUCAGCCACGGCGCGGUGAAUACGUUCCCGGGCCUUGUACACACCGCCCGUCAAGCCAUGGGAGCCGGGGGUACCUGAAGUACGUAACCGCAAGGAUCGUCCUAGGGUAAAACUGGUGAAAA